RNAcentral lists this long non-coding RNA (1355 nucleotides) under Sus scrofa (pig). RNAcentral describes it as "lncRNA (ENSSSCG00000054859.1)". The record is from RNAcentral. Lineage: Eukaryota; Metazoa; Chordata; Mammalia; Artiodactyla; Suidae.
CUUUUUGCCUUUUCUAAGGCCAUUCCCUUGGCAUAUGAAAGUUCCCAGGCUAGGGACCCAAUCGGAGCUGUAGCCAACCUACGCUGAAGCCACAGCAACACGGGAUCCGAGCCGCGUCUGUGACCUACACCACAGCUCAUGGCAACACCGGAUCCUUAACCCACUGAGCAAGGCCAAGGAUCGAACCCGCAACCUCAUGGUUCCUAGUUGGAUUCGUUGACCACUGAGCCACGAUGGGAACUCCCUGGAUGAGAAUUCUUAGAGCAUUUGGCCCAGGGCACUGUCUUCUCUGGAAAUGCUAGAGACACUGAUUUUCCAUUCUCUCUCCUUUUUGCAUAUAUCCCUCUUUUUGGACACUCUUCCCCACCCCACCCUGAUUUUUUAAAAAAUCAUCGUCUUUGUCUCAAUAGGCUUUCAGGAGAUCUUAUGACUUUCCAGUUUAUCUUGAUUCUCUUUAAAGUUGGUUGCUCUUUGAUGAUGUUAAUCUCAGGGAUAACCUCCAUAGUGGUCACUUGUUCAUUGCAUUCAGGAGCUAAAUGGUGGGUUAUUUCUGGGAAUAUUUUGUCCAUUAAGUCCAUCCGUUGUGAGUGAAUUCACAGUACUAUAAAUUACAUAGAAUGGCCUUUCCAUGUCUUAGUAUCGUCUUAUUUUCCUAACCUAUUGCUUUAAUUGUCUUUUAUACUAGAAUUUGGAAUCCAUUACGUUUGGGGGCCUGUAGCUCAGUGAAUGAGUUGGAAAGAUAAGUCUCCCAAAGUUGGUAUAUUUGUAGAGUAUUUCUUUCAUCAAAGAACUAAUGAAGGACCUUAGAAUUUUGGUACCUCUCUACUGAAUGCUUUAGAAAUAAAUUUUUUUUAAACUGAAUUUUCAUUUAAUGUUAUAGUGUUACUUUAUGUGUUCCAUCAAGCAUUGCAAGGUCAGAUAGAUUAACCAAUAUGAAAUCAAAACAAAACAUAAUAGUGCUAAAAAGACAGGGAAAUUGUUCUAAUUAUACCUGAUAAAGUAAACUUCUCUUGCCCUCACCCUUAUUUAUGUGAUCUCUUGAUCAUAAAUGUCAGUAUAUCCAAAAAAUUUGAUUUUAUGGUUCAAAUUAUAAUUACUUUGAUUUUUUAAUGAUGAUUAUUAAAAAAAAUCCUGAAACAUUUCACAUAUGUUUGACGUGUGCACUUAAAAAUAAAACUAGAAUUUAGAAAAAAAGGGAGAAGGCCCAUGUAAAUUUGCUGCCUUUUGGAAUAUGUCAUUUGUUCUUAACAGUUUUUUUUUUUUUUUUUUUUUUAAAGUGAAUGUUCACCACAGUUUUGCUCCAAAGGAAAUCAGUCACAAUUGUUCAGAAUGGGUGCUUAUUUAAAAAUGAAAGC